AAAAAAAUAAGAAAGUUCGCCCGUAUAAUUUUGGUAAUAUGGACCAGAAGUUUCUACAUGACUACCUUAAAUAGUCUGGCUAUGGGUGUUUAAUUAACUGUU
Molecule: non-coding RNA, 102 nt
Filed under: Maledivibacter halophilus
Lineage: Bacteria; Bacillati; Bacillota; Clostridia; Peptostreptococcales; Caminicellaceae
Description: Clostridium halophilum Guanine sequence
Rfam family: Purine riboswitch aptamer
About the family: Riboswitches are metabolite binding domains within certain messenger RNAs that serve as precision sensors for their corresponding targets.
Source: Rfam by way of RNAcentral